GCAAUAGUAGCUCAGCCUAGAGCAUCGGUCUUGUAAACCGGAGGUCGGGGGUUAAAAUCCCCCCUACUGCU
This 71-nucleotide transfer RNA is filed under the name Melichthys vidua (pinktail triggerfish). RNAcentral describes it as "tRNA-Thr". It matches the Rfam family "tRNA". Rfam says of the family: Transfer RNA (tRNA) molecules are approximately 80 nucleotides in length. Their secondary structure includes four short double-helical elements and three loops (D, anti-codon, and T loops). Further hydrogen bonds mediate the characteristic L-shaped molecular structure. tRNAs have two regions of fundamental functional importance: the anti-codon, which is responsible for specific mRNA codon recognition, and the 3' end, to which the tRNAs corresponding amino acid is attached (by aminoacyl-tRNA synthetases). tRNAs cope with the degeneracy of the genetic code in two manners: having more than one tRNA (with a specific anti-codon) for a particular amino acid; and 'wobble' base-pairing, i.e. permitting non-standard base-pairing at the 3rd anti-codon position. Lineage: Eukaryota; Metazoa; Chordata; Actinopteri; Tetraodontiformes; Balistidae. The record is from RNAcentral.